AUUGAACGCUGGCGGCAGGCCUAACACAUGCAAGUCGAACGGUAACAGGAAGAAGCUUGCUUCUUUGCUGACGAGUGGCGGACGGGUGAGUAAUGUCUGGGAAACUGCCUGAUGGAGGGGGAUAACUACUGGAAACGGUAGCUAAUACCGCAUAACGUCGCAAGACCAAAAAGGGGGACCUUCGGGCCUCUUGCCAUCGGGUGUGCCCAGAUGGGAUUAGCUAGUAGGUGGGGGAACGGCUCACCUAGGCGACGAUCCCUAGCUGGUCUGAGAGGAUGACCAGCCACACUGGAACUGGGACACGGUCCAGACUCCUACGGGAGGCAGCAGUGGGGAAUAUUGCACAAAGGGCGCAAGCCUGAUGCAGCCAUGCCGCGUGUAUGAAGAAGGCCUUCGGGUUGUAAAGUACUUUCAGCGGGGAGGAAGGGAGUAAAGUUAAUACCUUGGCUCAUUGACGUUACCCGCAGAAGAAGCACCGGCUAACUCCGUG
This 490-nucleotide ribosomal RNA is filed under the name uncultured bacterium. RNAcentral describes it as "partial 16S ribosomal RNA". It matches the Rfam family "Bacterial small subunit ribosomal RNA", at positions 30 to 507 of the family's 1533-position model. The record is from RNAcentral.